UGUAGGUUGGUGUUUUAUUUUAUUUCCAUUUUAUUAUUAUUAUUAUUAUUAUUAUUAUAUAUAUAUUUCAUUUUAGUUUUGCUUUAAAAAAAAAAAAAAAAAAAAAAAAACCUAAACUAAACUGGGAGAGCAAUCCCAUUCUUUGCAGAGAGCAACCAAAAAAAUUAGCCUAAGUGGAUUGAUCCCCCGUCCACGUGGAUCGAUUCCAUUUUACUUGUAUUUCCCCUUCUCAUUACACAGUAAAAGGACAAUUUUUUGUAAAAAAAUAUCGAUCCCCCAGUAAAGGAGAUCGAGCGCCAAUCCAUUCUCGCCCUACCUUCCAUUCCCAAACACAGUUUUCUUCUCCUUCCUUACGAAACCCUUAACCCACCUCCAAUCCCAAUUUGUUGGUUCGCUCCUCGCUGAUCUCUUCUCCUCUUCCACAGUGUCGUGGCUGUGAUUUCUGGCUCCAUGGUUCUGAGUUCUUUUCUGCCGACAGGUUUAGGUUCGCCCUUUGCAUCGCCUCUUUGGGUUUCGGUUGGGUGCGAUUGGGGAAGUUGGGUUGCCGGUUUCUAGGUUGCCGAGUUUGAGGUUCGCCAAGUUUUAUUGCGAGUUUGUGAAUCGUCGUUCUCUCCGGCGAUCGCUGCUGCAUCGCCGGUUCCUUCCGGCGAGUUUCUGCAUCGCCGGUUCCUUCCGGCGUGUUUGUGAAUCGCCAUGUUCUCCAGCGAUUCUGGCUGGUUGGUCUCUGUCGCGUUGCGGGGUUGCGGGUCUCGCCGGUGAUUUCAGCUGGGUUCUCUGUUGCGCUUUUGGGUCGCUUUUCUCUGGCGAUUUUGACUUGUUCUUUCAGUGAGCUUGUGCAGCGAUUUUGGCUAGAUUCCUCUCUGAUACCGGUUGGUUUCUUCAGCGAUUUUUUUUUUUAUUGGUUUCUUCUCCAGCGAGCUUGUGGGUUGCCGUUAUCCUUGUGGUUAAUUGUUUCGGCUAGAUUUUUGCAUCUAAGCUUGGGGGAGACAUCUUUCCUACUGGAUCAAUGCCGGAUUUCAUAAUCUUUGCCAUCACGGUACUCUUUCCAUUAUUUUUCAUUAUUCUCAUUGCACAUUGAGGACAAUGUACAGUUUAUGUUUGGGCGUAACGUCAUCAUGAUUCAUUUUAUUUAAGUUAAGCUUUAAAUGCAUGAUGCGAUUUGAGAUGUGUUUAGUAAUGAUUUCGAACUUUUGAAGCAUAGUGCCUUUGAAAAGCAAGUUGUUCGCGUCUAAUAUUUCUUGUAUGCUCUAGGAUGCCAUUUAGGGGUAAAUUUUUUAUUUUUGAUAUCAUGUUUGCUCUUGUGGUACACAUCAUCUUGUUAGUUGAAAAUGCUUUGAGAGUUUAUUUUAGAAUUCUACACUUGCACUUGCGUACACUAGCAUUCAAUUUGUGGGGUACAUGCUUAGUUGAUUAUUGUUUUGGUUUAUCCCAAUUGAGCUAGUAUGCUUUGAAAACUUUCAUUCUUGAUAAAAUGACCUUGCAAAGAAAAGAAAUAAAAGCACUCACCAAA
This is a long non-coding RNA of Cornus florida, 1510 nucleotides long. RefSeq lists it as uncharacterized. The transcript has 2 exons. NCBI's taxonomy places the organism in Eukaryota, Viridiplantae, Streptophyta, Magnoliopsida, Cornales, Cornaceae. The record is from RefSeq and is a predicted model, not a curated record.